CCUACGGGAGGCAGCAGUGAGGAAUAUUGGUCAAUGGACGAGAGUCUGAACCAGCCAAGUAGCGUGAAGGAUGACUGCCCUAUGGGUUGUAAACUUCUUUUAUAUGGGAAUAAAAUGUUCCACGUGUGGGAUUUUGUAUGUACCAUAUGAAUAAGGAUCGGCAAACUCCGUGCCAGCAGCCGCGGUACUACGGAGGAUCCGAGCGUUAUCCGGAUUUAUUGGGUUUAAAGGGAGCGUAGGUGGAUUGUUAAGUCAGUUGUGAAAGUUUGCGGCUCAACCGUAAAAUUGCAGUUGAAACUGGCAGUCUUGAGUACAGUAGAGGUGGGCGGAAUUUGUGGUGUAGCGGUGAAAUGCUUAGAUAUCACGAAGAACUCCGAUUGCGAAGGCAGUUCACUGGACUGCAACUGACACUGAGGCUCGAAAGUGUGGGUAUCAAACAGGAUUAGAUACCCUGGUAGUC
RNAcentral lists this ribosomal RNA (460 nucleotides) under uncultured bacterium. RNAcentral describes it as "partial 16S ribosomal RNA". It matches the Rfam family "Bacterial small subunit ribosomal RNA", at positions 338 to 795 of the family's 1533-position model. The record is from RNAcentral.